RNAcentral lists this transfer RNA (72 nucleotides) under Sphaerodactylus townsendi. Its description in RNAcentral is "tRNA-Ser". It matches the Rfam family "tRNA". Rfam says of the family: Transfer RNA (tRNA) molecules are approximately 80 nucleotides in length. Their secondary structure includes four short double-helical elements and three loops (D, anti-codon, and T loops). The record is from RNAcentral. Lineage: Eukaryota; Metazoa; Chordata; Lepidosauria; Squamata; Sphaerodactylidae.
GGGGCUGUGGCUCAGUGGAAGCACCUCUGCCUUGAAUGCAAAAGGUCCCAGGUUCAGUCCUGAGCAGCUCCA